AGAGUUGAUCAUGGCUCAGGAUGAACGCUAGCUACAGGCUUAACACAUGCAAGUCGAGGGGUAGCAGGGUAGCAAUACCGCUGACGACCGGCGCACGGGUGAGUAACACGUAUCCAACCUUCCCAUAACUCAGGGAUAGCCUUUCGAAAGAAAGAUUAAUACCUGAUAGUACUUUUUCAAGGCAUCUUAGAAAAAGUUAAAGAUUUAUUGGUUAUGGAUGGGGAUGCGUUCCAUUAGAUAGUUGGUGAGGUAACGGCUCACCAAGUCUUCGAUGGAUAGGGGUUCUGAGAGGAAGGUCCCCCACAUUGGUACUGAGACACGGACCAAACUCCUACGGGAGGCAGCAGUGAGGAAUAUUGGUCAAUGGGCGAGAGCCUGAACCAGCCAAGUAGCGUGAAGGAUGAAAGGUCCUAUGGAUUGUAAACUUCUUUUAUAGUAGAAUAAAGUGAUCCACGUGUGGAUUUUUGUAUGUAUACUAUGAAUAAGGAUCGGCUAACUCCGUGCCAGCAGCUGC
Molecule: ribosomal RNA, 514 nt
Filed under: uncultured bacterium
Lineage: Bacteria
Description: bacterial SSU rRNA
Rfam family: Bacterial small subunit ribosomal RNA
Source: RNAcentral